Molecule: long non-coding RNA, 815 nt
Filed under: Marmota monax (woodchuck)
Lineage: Eukaryota; Metazoa; Chordata; Mammalia; Rodentia; Sciuridae
Source: RNAcentral
UGUUUAUACAUGCACAUACACACAUAAACAGAAUCAUACUUAUUAUAUAUGCCCAUAUGUAUAAAGCACUUAAUGACUUUGUAUAGAUUUUAGUUUAUCAAAAGAUAAGUAUGACCCACAAGAGAAAUCAACCCUGGCCAGACUUAUGAUUUGUGCAAAUAAUUUUCAUCUUCCUUUUAGUGUUUGCAGUGUCCUGAUACCUGACAGUGUCUAUAACUGAGCAUGAUUUUUAUGGGAAUCUUAGAAGUUCAUGGUACCCCAUGACUCCUUCCUGACCAAUUCAGACCACGGAGGAGUUGGGGAAUUAAUAUGUGUGUCAGUCUACUUUGUGUUGCUACAAUAGAAUACUGAGGCUGAGUAAUCCAUAAAGAAGAGGUUUAUUUAGCUCAAGGUUCAGGAGGUUCAAUAGCAUGACACUAGAUUCUGCUUGGUUCUAGUGAUGGCUUCAUGCAGAUGACAUCGAAAUGCCAGGAGUGUAUGUGGAAGUUAUGGAUGAUAAGACAGGAAGCCAGAAAGAUUCAGGGGAGGUGCCCACUCUCCUGAACCAACUCAUUCUGCAACCCCCUGACACUGAGGACCAAGAUUCCAACAUGCAAAGCUUCAGUGGACCCACUCAACCCCUAUCCAAACCACAGCCCCAUGAUAAGGAAGCAGUUUAUCUACUGCACCUGCUAUUCCUUGUCCCCUAGUGUUUCCCUAAUGUUGUCAACUGAGACACAGGGUAGUGUCACAAUAGACCAAGACAAUAAAGUUAUUUUAUCUUAGAUAUUAUUUUUUAUAUUAGUUUAUUUGUAGAUAGAGGUGAAGCAUGCGUA